This 806-nucleotide unclassified non-coding RNA is filed under the name Drosophila yakuba. RNAcentral's name for it is "GE27874". Lineage: Eukaryota; Metazoa; Arthropoda; Insecta; Diptera; Drosophilidae. The record is from RNAcentral.
AUCGGAUACUCAGCUAACAGCUAUUGUUUAGAUUAUAUUAUGAGCAUUGAAAGUUGUAGUUUUUAGCAGAAAUCACUAAAACACAUCAUUAGCAUUAGCUUUCAUAUUUUUCAUUAUUCUAAAUUCUGUUUUGUAUAGUAUAUAGUAACAAUAUCCCACCCGACACCAUUUCAAAUAUUCCCGCUGAAACUAAUUAAAUCAAGCUGGGGCAGCGCCCGUUCGAGAUGGCCAUGAAUGGUUGGAUCUGCUUUGAGAGCCUCCUGGCAUAUCUCCCUUUGGUGCACGCCCCAUGACAGAUGACCACUUCAUGAACCCAUGCAUUUUAAUCCGCAGGCUGCAGUCCGGGCUCUUUUGGCCUGGCCAAAAAACAAUGCCCAUGCGGCCCAAAAGGGUUGGGAUCCUGCAUCCGGCCUGGCUUCAGGGAUCUUUAAGGAUGGGUAUGCCGGUGGUCCGAAGACCAGUCCGGGUGGAUAAUGAUGGAAGUGCACUCGGCCUGGCUCGCGAAUCCUUUUUGUCUGUCCCUUUUAUGUCCCAGUCAAAUUACCUCAAUAGCUGGAGAAAAGGGCAAAGAGUGUGGUGAGGAAAAUCCUUUUUUCUCGGCCCUUUAAGGCUAUGGAAAGUAAAAUGUAUAAUGUGUAUUCUUCUGCAAAGGGGGAAUUAUUUAAGCGGGCUUAAUAAAAAAACGCUCUGCGUAAUGCAAGGAAAUAAUGUACCUAUAGUCAAGGGAUAAUCAUGGAUUAAUAACACAACACAAUUGGACAGCUUUAUUAUAUUUUUAGUUGCUGCAUUUAUAAGUAACUAAUAGU